RNAcentral lists this non-coding RNA (28 nucleotides) under Mus musculus (house mouse). Lineage: Eukaryota; Metazoa; Chordata; Mammalia; Rodentia; Muridae. The record is from RNAcentral.
UAAAGAUUUUAUAGGUAAAUUGAUAGCC